Long non-coding RNA from Herpailurus yagouaroundi (jaguarundi), 870 nucleotides. RefSeq lists it as uncharacterized. The record is from RefSeq and is a predicted model, not a curated record. NCBI's taxonomy places the organism in Eukaryota, Metazoa, Chordata, Mammalia, Carnivora, Felidae. The transcript has 2 exons.
AAAGGAGCUCCCAGCUCAUCUCACAAGUAAGACUGGGGUAGCAAGCAUUAAAACCGGCUUCUCCUGUUUCAACGGAAAUGUACAAGAGGUGUUGUGCUGAGCACUGAGGAAGAAGUGGUGAGUGACAGAAGGGACUUGUGGGCUGGCGAGGCCGACUUAAACCCUCAACCAGAUGCAGUCGGUCAGAGACUGUUCCCCCGAGGAAGGGAAGUUUCAGCUGAGAUUGGAAAGCUGAAUGGGUGUUAACCAGGCAAAGGCAGGAGGGAAGAGUUCUUCAGGGAGUGAGAACAGUACAUGCAAAGGCACGGUGGCAGAGAAGGCGAACACAGGAGGGACCAAAAAAGGGUCACUGUGGCCAAAUAGCAACCAGGAACACAUUUAGUUUUUCAUCUGUGCCAGGUGCCAUUUUAAAGGCAGCUGAUUCACAUGUUACCUCAUGUAACCCAUGAUUGCACCUGAACUUGACAGAAAGCACUGAGGCACCAGGACAGUACCUAACCAACCCAAGCUCACUUCAAAGCAAAACAAUUAUUUCUUCUUUUUUUAUCUUCCCUGAAACAAGGGCAUGCAUACUGGCUGGGGGAGGGGGGGGGGGAGACAUGAAAAACUCGUGAAUCAAAUUCACUGUGGAGUGAAAGUAGUCAAGCCAGUUCUCACUACAGUCAGUUGAGAGACUAAAACCAUCACUUUCCAACUAGGUGUUUUCAUGCUGUAAGACUGUAACCACAGUGAAAUGUUUUGCAGGAGACGAUUAAUUCCCUUUUUAAGAAUCGGAGCCCAUGUAGUUAAGUUCAAGUUGAAAAGAACUAAAAAUACUUAGUGGAAGUCAUUUGAAUAAUGGUUAAAAAAAAAAAACUUUUCCCAAAUUCC